AAUUCGCUAGGUUGAUGUUAGAGAGCUGACAGGCUUUACUCUCUCACAUCAGACACGUUUGGGGGUAAUUAUGUGCCAAAGAAUGAAUUAACAUAACAACGUUUGUUUGUAUUGUGUGUGGUUUUCAUGCUGUUACAUGAUCAUAUGUUGUCACCGCGGUACUGACACUAAUUUUAACUAGCUAUACCUCAGCAUCACUUGUUGCUAAGAGACUGAUGCUACGACGUGUUGAAAUGACGUAAUAUAAUGAAUGAACAUGAUUGUAUUUUAUAUUUAUGUGUACAGUUUUAAUGUUGUGAUGUUAACUCAUCUUUACACCAUGGAUCUGACUUGUAAUGUGUUGAUAACUCGUCAGAAUCGCUGGCUUGGUAAGAGACUACAGCUAUUGGCUUAAUACAUUGCACUAACUAACAGCUUGACUACUAAGGGAUUGAUACAUCUCUCUUUUUUCUUUUUACCAAAGUAAUAUUACAGUGCACAAGAAGAGAGUGGAUGGCCACUGAAUUGUUUCAGGCCCAGGGCUGACCGGGGCAGCACAGUGGAACUACCAACGGCUGGUGGACCUUAAGCAGCCAGGUGUCAUCCUCCCUGCUGUGUUUGAUCCAGUUGUAAUGGCUGAGUUGAAGUCUGCCUCCAAGAAUCCGUUGGCCAGCCGCUCUCUGCUGGUCCACUGCUAAAGCAUGAGAUGUCGCCAGACGACCACCUGGAACCUCCAGCAGCAAUUGCCUAACCAGAUGUGAAGAGUUUAGCAGUGCACAAGAAAAAAGUGAAGAGAAGACGGACAAAGACCUGUCUUGGCUGUGGACAGCCCAAGUCUCAAUAGUGCGUCAUUUAGUCAUUGUGAAAAGUUAUAUUUGAAUGCUGGCCUUAAAUGUUCCAUAUCAUUUCUGAAAUGCUUAUCUUUAUGAUUACAAUCCACACUUUUACAUUUGUAUGUUACACUUGUCAUUGUUAAUAGCUGUUUGUUUGUCAUUUUCCUUUGUCAUUGUAAGCAGUUAUAUGUAAUUGUUGGCCUUAAAUUAUCCAUAUUAUUUCUCAAACAUGUAUCUUUAAUUACAGUCCACGCUAUUCCAUUUGUGUAAAUACUGAGACAAGUAUAAAUUAUUUCAGAUGUUGUCAAUAAAACUAUGAUGACUAAUAAAAAUGGAACUUAUUUUGAAAUAUUA
Molecule: long non-coding RNA, 1166 nt
Organism: Clupea harengus (Atlantic herring)
Lineage: Eukaryota; Metazoa; Chordata; Actinopteri; Clupeiformes; Clupeidae
Exons: 2
Source: RefSeq, a predicted model, not a curated record